RNAcentral lists this ribosomal RNA (1448 nucleotides) under metagenome. RNAcentral's name for it is "bacterial LSU rRNA". It matches the Rfam family "Bacterial large subunit ribosomal RNA", at positions 706 to 2180 of the family's 2925-position model. The record is from RNAcentral.
UUUACAGACCCGAACCCGGAUGAUCUAACCAUGGCCAGUGUGAAGCUUAGGUAACACUAAGUGGAGGUACCAACCGACUGUUGUUGAAAAAACAGCGGAUGAGUUGUGGUUAGGGGUGAAAUUCCAAUCGAAUCCGGAGCUAGCUGGAUCUCCCCGAAAUGCGUUGAGGCGCAGCGGUUAAUGUUUCUUCUUAGGGGUAAAGCUACUGUUUUGGUGCGGGCUGCGAGAGCGGUACCAAAUCAAGGCAAACUCUGAAUACUAAGACGUUUAGUUAACCAGUGAGACAUUGGGGGAUAAGCUUCAGUGUCAAGAGGGAAACAGCCCAGAUUACUAGCUAAGGCCCCUAAAUAAUUACUAAGUGGUAAAGGAGGUGGGAUUGCAGAGACAAUCAGGAGGUUUGCCCAGAAGCAGCAAUCCUUUAAAGAGUGCGUAAUAGCUCACUGUUCGAGUGAUCCUGCGCCGAAAAUGACUGGGACUAAGUAAUUUGCCGAAGCUGUAAGAUGUCAAAACAUCGGUAGGGGAGCGUUCUACAUUAGUUUGAAGCGUUAACGAAAGUGGGCGUGGACGAAGUAGAAGUGAGAAUGUUAGCUUGAGUAGCGAAAACAUUGGUGAGAAUCCAAUGCCCCGAAAACCUAAGGGUUCCUCCGGAAGGCUCGUCCGCGGAGGGUGAGUCAGGUCCUAAGGUAAGGCUGAAAAGCGUAAUCGAUGGAUAACAGGUUAAUAUUCCNGUACUGUUUAUUGUUGGUAAUGGGGGACGGAGAAGGCUANGCNGGCCGAAUGUUGGUUAUCGGUUUAAGUAUUCAAGGUGNUGAGGAACGGCGAAAACGUUCUGAGCUGAGAUANGAAUAGGACAGUNCUANGGNACUNAACCNGUUGAUGUCAUACUUCCAAGAAAAGCCCUAACUANCAUAAGCAAUAAAUACCUGUACCCUAAACCGACACAGGUGGGUAAGUAGAGUAUACUAAGGGGCGCGAGAUAACUCUCUCUAAGGAACUCGGCAAAAUAGCCUCGUAACUUCGGGAGAAGAGGUACCCUUAAUGGGUUGCAAGAACCAGACGCUGGCGACUGUUUAUCAAAAACACAGGUCUCCGCAAAGUCGUAAGACGAUAUAUGGGGGCUGACACCUGCCCAGUGCCGGAAGGUUAAGGAAGCUUGUUAGUCUUUGACGAAGCUCGCGACCGAAGCCCCGGUGAACGGCGGCCGUAACUAUAACGGUCCUAAGGUAGCGAAAUUCCUUGUCGGGUAAGUUCCGACCCGCACGAAAGGUGUAACGAUCUGCGUACUGUCUCGGAGAGAGACUCGGCGAAAUAGACUUGUCUGUGAAGAUGCGGACUACCUGCACCUGGACAAAAAGACCCUAUGAAGCUUUACUGUAGCUUGAUAUUGGCUCCGGGCUUUGUUUGCGCAGGAUAGGUGGGAGGCGUUGAAAAUUUUCUUGCGGGAAAGU